RNAcentral lists this ribosomal RNA (1132 nucleotides) under Lactiplantibacillus plantarum. RNAcentral describes it as "bacterial SSU rRNA". It matches the Rfam family "Bacterial small subunit ribosomal RNA", at positions 37 to 1146 of the family's 1533-position model. Lineage: Bacteria; Bacillati; Bacillota; Bacilli; Lactobacillales; Lactobacillaceae. The record is from RNAcentral.
UGGGGGGGGCCUAUACAUGCAAGUCGAACGAACUCUGGUAUUGAUUGGUGCUUGCAUCAUGAUUUACAUUUGAGUGAGUGGCGAACUGGUGAGUAACACGUGGGAAACCUGCCCAGAAGCGGGGGAUAACACCUGGAAACAGAUGCUAAUACCGCAUAACAACUUGGACCGCAUGGUCCGAGUUUGAAAGAUGGCUUCGGCUAUCACUUUUGGAUGGUCCCGCGGCGUAUUAGCUAGAUGGUGAGGUAACGGCUCACCAUGGCAAUGAUACGUAGCCGACCUGAGAGGGUAAUCGGCCACAUUGGGACUGAGACACGGCCCAAACUCCUACGGGAGGCAGCAGUAGGGAAUCUUCCACAAUGGACGAAAGUCUGAUGGAGCAACGCCGCGUGAGUGAAGAAGGGUUUCGGCUCGUAAAACUCUGUUGUUAAAGAAGAACAUAUCUGAGAGUAACUGUUCAGGUAUUGACGGUAUUUAACCAGAAAGCCACGGCUAACUACGUGCCAGCAGCCGCGGUAAUACGUAGGUGGCAAGCGUUGUCCGGAUUUAUUGGGCGUAAAGCGAGCGCAGGCGGUUUUUUAAGUCUGAUGUGAAAGCCUUCGGCUCAACCGAAGAAGUGCAUCGGAAACUGGGAAACUUGAGUGCAGAAGAGGACAGUGGAACUCCAUGUGUAGCGGUGAAAUGCGUAGAUAUAUGGAAGAACACCAGUGGCGAAGGCGGCUGUCUGGUCUGUAACUGACGCUGAGGCUCGAAAGUAUGGGUAGCAAACAGGAUUAGAUACCCUGGUAGUCCAUACCGUAAACGAUGAAUGCUAAGUGUUGGAGGGUUUCCGCCCUUCAGUGCUGCAGCUAACGCAUUAAGCAUUCCGCCUGGGGAGUACGGCCGCAAGGCUGAAACUCAAAGGAAUUGACGGGGGCCCGCACAAGCGGUGGAGCAUGUGGUUUAAUUCGAAGCUACGCGAAGAACCUUACCAGGUCUUGACAUACUAUGCAAAUCUAGAGAUUAGACGUUCCCUUCGGGGACAUGGAUACAGGUGUGCAUGGUGUCGUCAGCUCGUGUCGUGAGAUGUGGGUAGUCCCGCACGAGCGCACCCUUAUUAUCAGUUGCCAGCAUUAAGUUGGCACUUCUGUGA